GCACGGGUCAUAAUUGCAUCCAAGGUCUCCAUGACGACCUGCCUGAGCCAUGCGCUCAGAACUGUGGGGUUAGUGACAUCCCACGACCGGGCCGAACCCAGUCCCAAGAACAAGGCUUGCCUACUCAGGGCAAGGACCCCCAAGCGAGGAGGCCUGCUCAAGAGGCAGGUGCUGUACCAUGCCUCCCACUCCCUGAGGACAAGUCGGACAAGAGCGGAAACACUGUAAGGUAAUCUGUUCCACACGGCAAAGUCACCUCUUUCAUCUGAGUGCACAGAGUGGGUGCGACACCUGUAUGGAGCUCGCGGGUUGCUUUAGUCCAGUGAUGGGGAACACUUUACAGCUUUCAGGGAUACAAACCGUCUGCUGCUGCAGGGUCGCCACCCCUGCUUUGGUCUCCAGCAAAGCACUGUCCAGUAGCAACAACGUUUCUAGUAGUCAUAUUUGAAUAAGGAAAAGGAAACUGGUAAACUUAUCAACAUUUAGUAACAGAGUUGAAUAAAUGUGGCUAAUAUAGUUUAUUAACCCAUUAUUUCAACACAUGAGCGAUAUAAAAUUGUCAUUCAUUUCCUCUUGCUAUUUAGAAUUUAGUGUACAUUUCACACUUCAGCAGAUCCUUGUGGAAUGAGUUAAUUUCCCCAGCCCUAAUUGCUACAGGCUACCCCAGGGGAUAGUGUAACUGUAGCAUUUAAAUCCGUGACCGGUUUUUAAAUGUUCUGUGAUCAGAUCUAGUUUAAAAAUUUUUUCUUAAACCUAGUGUGGUAGCACACACCUAUAAUCCCAGCACCCGACUGUAAUCCCAG
RNAcentral lists this long non-coding RNA (803 nucleotides) under Chinchilla lanigera (long-tailed chinchilla). RNAcentral's name for it is "lncRNA (ENSCLAG00000027200.1)". The record is from RNAcentral. Lineage: Eukaryota; Metazoa; Chordata; Mammalia; Rodentia; Chinchillidae.